UACGUAGGGUGCGAGCGUUAAUCGGAAUUACUGGCGUAAAGCGUGCGCAGGCGGUUUUGUAAGCCAGAUGUGAAAUCCCCGGGCUUAACCUGGGAAUGGCAUUUGGGACUGCAAGGCUCGAGUGCGGCAGAGGAGACUGGAAUUCCUGGUGUAGCAGUGAAAUGCGUAGAUAGUCAGGAGGAACACCGAGUGGCGAAGGCAGGUCUCUGGGCUGACACUGACGCUCAUGCACGAAAGCGUGGGGAGCAAACAGG
RNAcentral lists this ribosomal RNA (254 nucleotides) under uncultured bacterium. Its description in RNAcentral is "partial 16S ribosomal RNA". It matches the Rfam family "Bacterial small subunit ribosomal RNA", at positions 524 to 776 of the family's 1533-position model. The record is from RNAcentral.